CGAUGACGAAGCCGGCGACGUUGAUGGUGAUGAGCAGGAUCUCGUUGGUUUUGAUCAGCGCAUAGAAGAUCCACAGCAUCGCACUGAACAGAGCCACCACGUAGGGAACCGACUGGAAACCCUCCGUCGACUUGCUCUUGUAGAUGCGGUAGAACGUCGGGCUGCACAUACAAAAAUACAAUGAUCGCAAAUAUAUAUGGUUAAUUUCAAAACAUCAAUUUUAAACGCAUAGCAAUGUUAACUUGUUAAGCUCCUUUUAAAAAUAACUUGUUAAGCUAAUAUACGAAAUGAGAAUUUGGUGAGGCGGUACUUACAUUGGGGCCAGGAAGGUCAUGAAGGAGAUGAUGUUGCCUGCAACACAAAUAAUGGACGCCAAGGAUCAGACGUUUGCAAAAGCUGGCAAAGAGCCCAAAGCUGGGAUAAGAUGUGAUGAGGUGACAAGUUACAUGUCCGGUCUUAUUUGCCUUCUUUUGUGAGCAAAGAUUGGUGUGGCUUUAUUUUUAUUUUUCGCUAGAUGAGCUCUUGUGUUGUGGUGCACUAUGACGUCAACACUACUACACAGCAGUAGCAGCAGUGGCCUGACUACGUACGUCACCCAACUGGCAAGAUAGAUGCUUCAAAAGGACUGAUUGCUAGCUUAACAAGUAGUCUAUGAUAAGAAAUGUAUCGGCUAACAAAAGCAUCGGUCAAUCAUGGCAAAGGUGAUAAAAUCUAGUGAUGUAUGGCACUGGCACAAGUGAAUAUGAUCAGUUUAUGGCCACAUGAAGCUUCUCACUUUUGGAAAAUGUUUGGAAGCUGCGCAAGCUCACAACUACGUAUAAUUGAUUCAACGCGAUCACUGGAUCGGUGUGCAACUCCCACUAAGUAGCUUGUAUGUAGUAUCAUAGACUAGCAACUAUGAAAUGAUAAGAUGCUUCCUAAAACAAAUUUAUAGCAAUUUGUAAAGCGCAACCGAGUCGAAUAUAAUUGAAAGGAUGAGCGAUUCAUGGGCAUGCAAACUCUUGUUUUGUG
This 1011-nucleotide long non-coding RNA is filed under the name Setaria italica (foxtail millet). RNAcentral's name for it is "long non-coding RNA (SITA_LNC002437)". Lineage: Eukaryota; Viridiplantae; Streptophyta; Magnoliopsida; Poales; Poaceae. The record is from RNAcentral.